This 278-nucleotide long non-coding RNA is filed under the name Mytilus galloprovincialis (Mediterranean mussel). Lineage: Eukaryota; Metazoa; Mollusca; Bivalvia; Mytilida; Mytilidae. The record is from RNAcentral.
UUAUUUUGAAAGCAUUUUUAUGCUUACAAACAUGGUAAAAUAAUACAGUAACAAUUCCUGUAAACUCCACUUCCAACAAUAACAUGAAUCUUUUCAUUUUUGAAAAAAAGAAUAAUUAUUUGCAGAGGACACCUACAAUUUUGAAUUGUUUUUGAUGCAUGAAUUUUUUAUGAGCAAAUUUCUCAGAGGAAAGCCGCAGCUGAAACUUUUUUGUUGAUUGUGCCAUAAUACUAUCAACACUUUUAAAACUAAUAUAGUACCAUUUUACAUUCACCAGG